This 30-nucleotide non-coding RNA is filed under the name Mus musculus (house mouse). The record is from RNAcentral. Lineage: Eukaryota; Metazoa; Chordata; Mammalia; Rodentia; Muridae.
UGGAAAAUGGCUUGCUGUCCUUGAUCAAGA